AUUUAUUUAUUUAUUUAUUUUUGCGGUCAAGGAAGGAGAGGAAGAGGGCAAAAGGACGAUGAGCUUUUUUGAGUGGACGAAAAAAGACUGUACUUCUCAAGAAAUUACAACAAUUUCAUUCCCUUGACUAGGGGUCCAGAGGCAUUAUGAGCGAGGGUGUUUUGGUCAUUUGGUAAACCCAGUUCUGGUAAUCGGAGAUGUCAUUUCCCUCGUGUUUCGGGUGGACUAAAGAAGACAAGAACAUGGAAACAGAUCAUGGGCGAGGAAGAGAGAGAG
RNAcentral lists this unclassified non-coding RNA (276 nucleotides) under Hevea brasiliensis (rubber tree). The record is from RNAcentral. Lineage: Eukaryota; Viridiplantae; Streptophyta; Magnoliopsida; Malpighiales; Euphorbiaceae.